RNAcentral lists this transfer RNA (79 nucleotides) under Loxodonta africana (African savanna elephant). It matches the Rfam family "tRNA". From Rfam's summary of the family: Transfer RNA (tRNA) molecules are approximately 80 nucleotides in length. Their secondary structure includes four short double-helical elements and three loops (D, anti-codon, and T loops). Further hydrogen bonds mediate the characteristic L-shaped molecular structure. tRNAs have two regions of fundamental functional importance: the anti-codon, which is responsible for specific mRNA codon recognition, and the 3' end, to which the tRNAs corresponding amino acid is attached (by aminoacyl-tRNA synthetases). tRNAs cope with the degeneracy of the genetic code in two manners: having more than one tRNA (with a specific anti-codon) for a particular amino acid; and 'wobble' base-pairing, i.e. permitting non-standard base-pairing at the 3rd anti-codon position. The record is from Rfam by way of RNAcentral. Lineage: Eukaryota; Metazoa; Chordata; Mammalia; Proboscidea; Elephantidae.
ACCAGGAUUGCCAAGUGGUUAAGGCAUUGGACUUAAGGUCCAACAUAUGUCAGCGUGGGUUCGAACUUCACUCCUGGUU